This 210-nucleotide unclassified non-coding RNA is filed under the name Hevea brasiliensis (rubber tree). Lineage: Eukaryota; Viridiplantae; Streptophyta; Magnoliopsida; Malpighiales; Euphorbiaceae. The record is from RNAcentral.
GAAACAUUUCAUUAAUCAAUCCUUUGAGAAGCAUAGUGAUAAGAAAAAUUUUACAUGGACAUCUAACUGCUAGCUGGGUUAAACAAAUUAUAAUGCUCAGUUCUCCAUCAACAAACAACCCUAAAUAUCAAAUGAAAUUUGUUCAGUACUUGUCCUUCCACAUAUUAUCCGAUCAUAGCUGUGAGGGAGCGAAAAACAACUUCUUCGCAA